This 1462-nucleotide long non-coding RNA is filed under the name Equus caballus (horse). Its description in RNAcentral is "lncRNA (ENSECAG00000046390.1)". Lineage: Eukaryota; Metazoa; Chordata; Mammalia; Perissodactyla; Equidae. The record is from RNAcentral.
GGAAUCAUUAGGAAUAAAAAGAAAUUCUCAGUUAGUGUGACACACAUCUGAGCUGGCUACUAAGGGAAUAAAUAGCUUCUAGAAGAUUUCAUCCAUGGCGGUAUUCGGCAGGAUCCGAUUACAUUUAAAUGCUAAUGCACAUCCUGCAGCAUUCUGAUUCACCGGAGGACUAAUGUUGCUGAUAGGCACGCAGAUAGCCUGGACGGAUAUUACAUUCUGAGCAACAGCAGAGCAAAACCCUCCCAACCUUCAGUUCCUCCAAAACGCCCAUAAACUGGCUGAGCUAGGAAAUAGCCACAAAAGAAGAGAAAUGCUGGUAUCAGCAGGAGUGACAUGAGCAAACGCUUGAAACAAAUCUGUGCAACGGGCUUGCCCUCUGCGCUGCUGUCAUUGCCCUGGGAAGGCAUGCCGUGAGAAGCAGCUGCCCCAGCAGCCCUGACCCCAGAAUGAACGUCUGUGGAGCAGAGCCGCCCCAGCUGACUCGCAGCCCCACAGUUGAGGCAGAGCUGCCUGGUAUAAGGCCUACGGCUGUACGCCACGGCGUGGUUCCACACAACGAACUUCUCCCAAAUAAGAAGAGUGAUAAAACCCUCCCAGAUGUCAGAUGCUCACUGUGCUACAUCUCCUACUGCAUCGUACCCCCUGCUUCCCAAUUCCUCGCACAGAGCCAAUACAGCACACAACACAAAAUGUUCGCUCAGUCUAUCUUUGUUAGCUAUCUACUGAUAAUACAGAGUUUCUGAUUGCCAUUUAUAUAGAGAGAGAUAAAAAAUAGAAAACCAAUUUUGACAUUCUCUUGAGUCAACAGGACCCAGGGGCCUCCUAGGUUCCUGAAUGCGGAAUGUAAAAUAUUAGUGAUGCUCAAAUAAGCAACUUGCUUCUUAGAGUAGCAGGCAGAAUUCCGUAGGAGUGGCAGCGAGACCUAACUAGAGAAGUCUGACAUGGAGGAUUUAAUUACACGCCUUUUGUGAGUGUGAAGUAGACGUUGUGUGUGGUCCCACAACCACGCAACCGCAUCUGUGCAUCCCAGGCAGAGCCAGUGAACCCAAACGUCUUCAGGUUGAAACUGAAGCAAGAAGUGUAAGGAAAUUGAAAAUUCUUAAGCAUCAUAAAAACAUCCUCUUGCUCUUGUUCCAGUUCUAACCAGUCAAUCAACCAGCAUUCACCAGUCUUCAUGUCAGUCCCCAGCACUAGGGCUGCCCCUAAAGCCGACAGGGCCUGUGCCAAGAGCAGAGAUAGGGGUUCACGUAUCAUAUGUCUAAAUAGUCAAAAGUUAUAAAUCAAGCUAACAAACUACAAAAUAACAUAUAUUCUAUCUUACUACCUUGACAAAUAUACUUUCACAGAAACAAAUAGAACAAUGACGACAAAAUGGAAAGAUGUAUAUAAGGCUAUGAUUUUUAUACGACUAAAUUUUAAAUGAAAAAUUUAAAUAUUUUGCUCAUGUUUGUGUGUUCUGUUG